RNAcentral lists this ribosomal RNA (482 nucleotides) under uncultured bacterium. Its description in RNAcentral is "partial 16S ribosomal RNA". It matches the Rfam family "Bacterial small subunit ribosomal RNA", at positions 30 to 507 of the family's 1533-position model. The record is from RNAcentral.
AUUGAACGCUGGCGGCAUGCCUUACACAUGCAAGUCGAACGGCAACACGCUGCGAGGUGCCGCCGACUGGCGGCCGGGUGCGUAAUGCUUCGGAAUGCGUCCGGUCCUGGGGGUUCACUGCUCGUAAGGGUAGCUAAUAUCGCCUACGAUCUCUGGCUGCAUGCGGGGGAACGCAAGGCAUCGUGCGAUCUUACCCGCCGAUGUCAGAUUAGGUCGUUGGGGGGGUAAAGGCUCACCAAGGCAACGAUCUGUAGCUGGUCUGAGAGGAUGACCAGCCACACUGGAACUGAGACACGGCCCAGACUCCUACGGGAGGCAGCAGUGGGGAAUAUUGGACAAUGGGCGCAAGCCUGAUCCAGCAAUGCCGCGUGGAGGAAGAAGGCCUUCGGGUUGUAAACUGCUUUUGUACGGAAAGAAAAGGCGCUGGUUAAUACCCGGGUGUAAUGACGGUACCGUAAGAAUAAGCACCGGCUAACUACGUG